GGUCUUCUCCUACUUCCUUGACUUCACGCGCCCCACACCACCCAGCUACAGUGCCGCCCCUCCUCCCAUCUUCACCUUCACCUUCAUCUUCAUCGCCUCCGCCCCCACUUAUCUACAAGAAUAGUGCCUCUGUCGCCCCUCCUCCGUCGGCCUCCCGUCUCCAACGUGGAUUCCCGCAGCCACUCGCAUCCGCGUUCAGUCCCAACCCAGAUCCAGCCAAAGUCGCUGCUCCCGCAGCCGCUUGCCUACACGUCCCGUCCCAAUAUCCUGCAGCCGCACGCCGCCCAGUCCGACCCAGAUCCGGGUGUCCCACCACAGACCAGUACCGGCCUGUUGUCCACCACUCCGAUCUGUUUUCGAUCGACUGCCCAGCUGUCGUCUUCCACCUAUCUGAGUAACGGUAAAAGUUAGAGGAGGAAGAUCUCGAUGUUAAAUUGAACGAAAUCGUGCACAAUCACACAGACAGGGAAGAAGAGAUUAAAUCAUCAAGCACCGAAGCAGAGACUGUGAUGAAUAAUGGAGAAUGUGAUGUAGUCCGGAGAAAGAAAGGUAAAAAAUUGAAGGAGACCAGCAAAAAGAGGGGUGGGGAUACUUAGUUCGGAGGUAAGACAAAACAUACUAAAAUUGACCCUAAACGAAAUUUGGGUUCAUGUAAGGAACCUACCAAGAAGGUAAGAACUCGAGGAAUAUUUGUGUUGGAUAGUAAUAUUUACAAAUUAGAUUCACUUAGCUAAUUCUACUUUUAUGUUUCGGGAAAAUUAAAGGAGAGGGUCUCAAGAUAGUUGAGGAAGCGUGCAUGUUGUUAGUGAGAUAAUUAUUGAGAUAUACAUGUACUAGAUUUCUAUUUAUGAUAUAUAUAUAUAUAUAUAUAUUAUAUUAGUACAACAUGUG
Molecule: RNA transcript, 891 nt
Organism: Momordica charantia (bitter melon)
Lineage: Eukaryota; Viridiplantae; Streptophyta; Magnoliopsida; Cucurbitales; Cucurbitaceae
Gene name: LRR receptor-like serine/threonine-protein kinase EFR
Source: RefSeq, a predicted model, not a curated record